This 253-nucleotide long non-coding RNA is filed under the name Gossypium barbadense (sea-island cotton). Its description in RNAcentral is "long non-coding RNA (GBAR_LNC008215)". The record is from RNAcentral. Lineage: Eukaryota; Viridiplantae; Streptophyta; Magnoliopsida; Malvales; Malvaceae.
CAUAUCUCAUGGCCAUAUACAAAAGAAUAAGUAUACCAUUUAAGCCAUUACAUUGGCUAGCCAAAUGACACAUAUAACAAAAUAACCCAAAAUCCUAUACAUGCCAUUAAACAAAAUGGAAGUAUCUAGAUACUAAAGUAGGACAAGUCGAUAGUGUGUUGAUUCUCUAACCGUCUUCCAAUCUUCACGAGUCCACGAGCUCUGUAAGGCAGGGAAAAGAGAAUAGGGUAAGCAUUUAUAUGCUUAGUAAGUC